GUAUAAAUUUAUAGGCACAAAAUGCCCAUCUGUUACAUUCUAAAACAUACAUAGGGGUAUAUGAAGAAACAUAGGCCUGGAAAUGUAAGGAGAGACAUAAAAAGUCAAUUCCUCAAACCUGAAAUGCAAGUGCAUUCAGAAAGAUUAUCCAGAUCUACAAGAGGUGCACAGGUGGAGAUAUAAAGAUGACAAGUGUGCACAUGCUCCCUAGAGAGCCAGCAACAACCCAUCAGGUUUAUUUCAAUAAUGAUCCUUCCGCAGGUUCACCUACGGAAA
RNAcentral lists this unclassified non-coding RNA (276 nucleotides) under uncultured fungus. RNAcentral describes it as "sequence contains ITS1". The record is from RNAcentral. Lineage: Eukaryota; Fungi.